Molecule: long non-coding RNA, 221 nt
Filed under: Lathyrus oleraceus (garden pea)
Lineage: Eukaryota; Viridiplantae; Streptophyta; Magnoliopsida; Fabales; Fabaceae
Description: Pisum sativum (pea) long non-coding RNA (PSAT_LNC027864)
Source: RNAcentral
UCAAAGUAUAGUCUGGACCAAAGGAUAAUAUUAUUUGAACUCCAAAAAGGGGUGAAAUAUGAACCCAAGAGUAAACUGGUGUGAACCAACAAGUGAGGAGGUAGUUUCUCUAAGAAGUAUGGAGGUCUCAUGUGAAGAAAAAUUCCAGAUCCCAACAACAUCAUCAUCAAGUAUCCUCAGUUAUUCCAGUGUUUACCUACAAUUCUGCAAUUCAGUCAGCA